AUUGCAGGAAACUCAAGCCCUGGUGCACCUCAGUUCCUCCUAUUCUCUGCUGCGGCACACAAUAAUCUAGUCUCCUGUGGGUUGUAAUACUUUGGUCUGAUUUUGGUUGUUGGGUUUAGUAUGUGGGUGCUGUGUGGUACUUGCAGCCUGUGAUAUACAGGAGGUCAAAACAGAUGAUCUGCUGGGCCCUUCUGGCCUUAAACUCAAUGACUCUGAUACUAGAGCAGGGGCUGAUGAACCUCACUCUUUUCACAAAGAAUGGACCAAUGAGGACAGAAGGUGAGUUAUCUAAGGAGAAUAGUGGCACUCAUGACUAGGGCACUGAUCCAGUUUACCUUGCGUGCAGAUAGUCAAAGGAAACUGCAGGAUGAGACAAGGAUGCCUGAAAGGCAUUGGAACGUUAGGCACCCUGAGAGGGGGAGAAAACUGCAAAUCCUCCUUUAAUUCAAAGAGAGUGAGUGUUUCACUGGAGGAGAGCCUGCCUGCUCUCAGACAAACUGAAGUAUGAACAUCAGGAAAAGCAGGGCACAAAAGGGGGACUGUAACAAGACACCUCCUGGGAGUACUGGAAACAGUAGGAGCCUGCCACUGUGGUCCUCUGGGGUGUCCCCACACAUCCCCUGAUUCUUCUUCCUCAGACUGAUCCAUCCUGUGUUAGCUUUCAUGGUGCAAGAACAUUAGUUAGGAAAAAAAAAAAAAAAAAGCAGGACCGUGGCUCAAAAUCUGCCCAAAGUCCAGGUAGCUGCUGAAAAAAGCAACCCUACAUACUUUGCACAACAAGCUGCAAUGUGGGGGCAUGAGCUGCGAACACAGAACACAGCGAGGGAGCUGGAACUUUGGACAUACAGUUGGUGAUUGGUUCAAUCGGUUUCUGUGCAAGUAAGCAGGCUGGGAAUCUAUUCUUAAGUUAGAAGAGUGUCCAGCCCUGUCCCAAGUGUUCCUGUGAAAACUGAUGCCAAAGUGGAAAGAGAAAAUAGGGGGAAAAUAAGUGUCUGAAAAGGCAGAAGCCAAAGGAAAAUUCCAGAAGAACCUCUGCCUCUAGAGACAGAAAUCUGGGAAGAGAUGUGCCUGUGGUCUCACAGGAAUGCCAGCAGUGCAGUAAAACAGACUUGGUAGGUGGGAGGGGAGAAUUACAAGAGGUCCUUGGAAAAGUGGAAAAAGGUGGGGUUUUCCCUAUUCUAGCUGAGCACAGAACUCCCACAAAAGGGAAAUUCCUGCCUUAAUGGUUGACAAAGCUGUGAUUACAGACACAUGAACAGAAGUUCACAAUACAAGAGCCUACAUUACCCUCUGUUUCUCCAAAGCAGGCAGGCAAGCAAAGAAAAGAUCCAACAACUUUUCAGAAUUCCUUAACAGGAAAAACAAGAAUCACUGAAUGUAGAUCUCACAGGUGUCAAAGUAAUUUCCUGCUUGCACCAGCAAAGGUGUUUCUAUUCCCUGCU
Gopherus evgoodei (Goodes thornscrub tortoise) is the source of this 1442-nucleotide long non-coding RNA. RefSeq lists it as uncharacterized. The transcript is spliced from 3 exons. The record is from RefSeq and is a predicted model, not a curated record. NCBI's taxonomy places the organism in Eukaryota, Metazoa, Chordata, Testudines, Testudinidae.